UCUGGAUGGUAGUGUAUUGGACUACCAUGGAAGUCACGAUUUCGAGGAAUUAGGGUUUGAUAUCGAAGAGGGAGCCUUAAAAAUGGCUACUACUUCUAAGGAAGGCAGCAGGCGCGUAAAUUACCCAAUCCUGAUUCAGGGAGGUAGCGACGAUAAAUAAUAACACAGAUUGUAUCUACAAUUAUGUGAUUAAAAUGAGAACAAUUUAAACAUCUUAUCGAGGAACAAUAAGAGGGCAAGUUGGGUGCCAGCAGCCGCGGUAAUUCCUACUCUUAUAGUGUAUAUUAAAGUUGUUGCAGUUAAAAAGCUCGUAGUCGAUUAUCUAGUACUGGCCGUCAUGGCUCACGUCAAGACGUGCGAGUGCUAUCAGCUCGAGAACUUUAACUAUCUUAACUGGUCGUUGAUGCUUGAUCGGGCACUUUACUGAGAAAAAAUUAGAGUGUUUAAAGCAGGCUAAUGCCGUGAAUAUUACAGCUUGGAAUAAUAGAAUAAGACUGAAGUAUAUUUUGUUGGUUAUUAACUUUAGUAAUGGGUUUAUAGAAACAGUCGGGGGCAUUAGUACUUAAUUGCCAGAGGUGAAAUUCUAUGAUUUAUUAAAGACUAACAUAUGCGAAAGCAUUUGCCAAGGAUGUUUUCAAUUGAUCAAGAACGAAAGUUAGGGGAUCAAAGACGAUUAGAUACCGUC
This 685-nucleotide ribosomal RNA is filed under the name uncultured ciliate. RNAcentral's name for it is "bacterial SSU rRNA". It matches the Rfam family "Eukaryotic small subunit ribosomal RNA", at positions 318 to 1019 of the family's 1831-position model. The record is from RNAcentral. Lineage: Eukaryota; Ciliophora.